RNAcentral lists this small nucleolar RNA (107 nucleotides) under Gossypium barbadense (sea-island cotton). Its description in RNAcentral is "Plant small nucleolar RNA R71". It matches the Rfam family "Plant small nucleolar RNA R71". From Rfam's summary of the family: R71 is a member of the C/D box family of snoRNAs containing the C (UGAUGA) and D (CUGA) box motifs. Multiple nearly identical copies of this snoRNA have been identified in Arabidopsis, and it is thought to function as a 2'-O-ribose methylation guide for 18S ribosomal RNA. The record is from Rfam by way of RNAcentral. Lineage: Eukaryota; Viridiplantae; Streptophyta; Magnoliopsida; Malvales; Malvaceae. RNAcentral also lists the same sequence under 1 other name.
AUACCAUGGUGUGGGCACUUCCUAAGCAGCGACAUGAAGCGUUCCCAAGCUUCAUAUAAAUUAUCGUCUUCAAAUUGCUUAAAAUUAGCAAUAUCACACCUUAAUUG